RNAcentral lists this long non-coding RNA (246 nucleotides) under Elaeis guineensis (African oil palm). RNAcentral describes it as "long non-coding RNA (EGUI_LNC078181)". The record is from RNAcentral. Lineage: Eukaryota; Viridiplantae; Streptophyta; Magnoliopsida; Arecales; Arecaceae.
GGGUGUCCAUUUUCUUCAUAUAAAAAGGCUUUGGGCAUCCACCUCUUGUGUUGAUUUCUAGUCCCUGGUAGUAGUAUAAUAAAAAAAAAAAGUAAGAGAAGAAGAGAAGAAGAAGAUCAAGAAAAGGAUCAAAGAGUUAAUCGCGAUCCAAGCUUCGUUCGGAUUUGUAGGUUGAUUUUUUUUAAAGAAAAAAAAUCAAUUUGAAGAGGACUGUUCUAGGAUGAUCCUGAGUGAAUACCCGUAGAG